Molecule: ribosomal RNA, 497 nt
Filed under: uncultured bacterium
Lineage: Bacteria
Description: partial 16S ribosomal RNA
Rfam family: Bacterial small subunit ribosomal RNA
Source: RNAcentral
GACGAACGCUGGCGGCGUGCCUAAUACAUGCAAGUAGAACGCUGAAGAGAGGAGCUUGCUCUUCUUGGAUGAGUUGCGAACGGGUGAGUAACGCGUAGGUAACCUGCCUUGUAGCGGGGGAUAACUAUUGGAAACGAUAGCUAAUACCGCAUAACAAUGGAUGACCCAUGUCAUUUAUUUGAAAGGGGCAAAUGCUCCACUACAAGAUGGACCUGCGUUGUAUUAGCUAGUAGGUGAGGUAACGGCUCACCUAGGCGACGAUACAUAGCCGACCUGAGAGGGUGAUCGGCCACACUGGGACUGAGACACGGCCCAGACUCCUACGGGAGGCAGCAGUAGGGAAUCUUCGGCAAUAGGGGCAACCCUGACCGAGCAACGCCGCGUGAGUGAAGAAGGGUUUCGGAUCGUAAAGCUCUGUUGUAAGUCAAGAACGAGUGUGAGAGUGGAAAGUUCACACUGUGACGGUAGCUUACCAGAAAGGGACGGCUAACUACGUG